GACGAACGCUGGCGGCGUGCUUAACACAUGCAAGUCGAGCGGAAAGGCCCUGCUUUUGUGGGGUGCUCGAGUGGCGAACGGGUGAGUAACACGUGAGUAACCUUCCCUUGACUUUGGGAUAACUUCAGGAAACUGGGGCUAAUACCGGAUAGGAGCGCCUGCUGCAUGGUGGGGGUUGGAAAGUUUCGGCGGUUGGGGGUGGACUCGCGGCUUAUCAGCUUGUUGGGGGGGUAGUGGCUUACCAAGGCUUUGACGGGUAGCCGGCAUGAGAGGGUGACCGGCCACAUUGGGACUGAGAUACGGCCCAGACUCCUACGGGAGGCAGCAGUGGGGAAUAUUGCACAAUGGGCGGAAGCCUGAUGCAGCAACGCCGCGUGCGGGAUGACGGCCUUCGGGUUGUAAACCGCUUUCGCCUGUGACGAAGCGUGAGUGACGGUAAUGGGUAAAGAAGCACCGGCUAACUACGUG
This 468-nucleotide ribosomal RNA is filed under the name uncultured bacterium. RNAcentral's name for it is "partial 16S ribosomal RNA". It matches the Rfam family "Bacterial small subunit ribosomal RNA", at positions 28 to 507 of the family's 1533-position model. The record is from RNAcentral.